GGCGCGAUGGCGGAGUGGUUAACGCGAGAGACUAGAAAUCUCUUCUCUUCGGAGGCGUAGGUUCGAAUCCUGCUCGCGUCG
This is a transfer RNA of 81 nucleotides. It matches the Rfam family "tRNA". From Rfam's summary of the family: Transfer RNA (tRNA) molecules are approximately 80 nucleotides in length. Their secondary structure includes four short double-helical elements and three loops (D, anti-codon, and T loops).